Molecule: ribosomal RNA, 898 nt
Filed under: uncultured Actinomycetes bacterium
Lineage: Bacteria; Bacillati; Actinomycetota; Actinomycetes
Description: bacterial SSU rRNA
Rfam family: Bacterial small subunit ribosomal RNA
Source: RNAcentral
AGAGUUUGAUUAUGGCUCAGAUGACGCUGCGGCGUGCUAACACAUGCAAGUCGAACGGUGAAGCUCCAGCUUGCUGGAGUGGAUCAGUGGCGAACGGGUGAGUAACACGUGAGCAACCUGCCCCGGACUCUGGGAUAACAGUUGGAAACAGCUGCUAAUACGGGAUACGCACCAUACAGGCAUCUGUUGUGGUGGGAAAGAUUUUUUGGCUCGGGAUGGGCUCGCGGCCUAUCAGCUUGUUGGUGAGGUAAUGGCUCACCAAGGCGUCGACGGGUAGCCGGCCUGAGAGGGUGACCGGCCACACUGGGACUGAGACACGGCCCAGACUCCUACGGGAGGCAGCAGUGGGGAAUAUUGCACAAUGGGCGGAAGCCUGAUGCAGCAACGCCGCGUGAGGGAUGACGGCCUUCGGGUUGUAAACCUCUUUUAGCAGGGAAGAAGCGAGAGUGACGGUACCUGCAGAAAAAGCGCCGGCUAACUACGUGCCAGCAGCCGCGGUAAUACGUAGGGCGCAAGCGUUAUCCGGAAUUAUUGGGCGUAAAGAGCUCGUAGGCGGUCUGUCGCGUCUGCUGUGAAAACCCGAGGCUCAACCUCGGGCCUGCAGUGGGUACGGGCAGACUAGAGUGCGGUAGGGGAGAUUGGAAUUCCUGGUGUAGCGGUGGAAUGCGCCGAUAUCAGGAGGAACACCGAUGGCGAAGGCAGAUCUCUGGGCCGUAACUGGCGCUGAGGAGCGAAAGGGUGGGGAGCAAACAGGCUUAGAUACCCUGGUAGUCCACCCCGUAAACGUUGGGAACUAGUUGUGGGGACCUUUCCACGGUCUCCGUGACGCAGCUAACGCAUUAAGUUCCCCGCCUGGGGAGUACGGCCGCAAGGCUAAAACUCAAAUGAAUUGACGGGG